UACGUAGGGGGCUAGCGUUGUCCGGAUUUAUUGGGCGUAAAGAGCGUGUAGGCGGCCAGAUAGGUCUGCUGUGAAAACUCGAGGCUCAACCUCGAGAUGUCGGCGGAAACCAUUUGGCUAGAGUCCGGAAGAGGAAAGUGGAAUUUCUGGUGUAGCGGUGAAAUGCGCAGAUAUCAGGAAGAACACCCGUGGCGAAGGCGGGUCUCUGGGCAGUAACUGACGCUGAGGAGCGAAAGCCAGGGGAGCAAACGGG
RNAcentral lists this ribosomal RNA (253 nucleotides) under uncultured bacterium. Its description in RNAcentral is "partial 16S ribosomal RNA". It matches the Rfam family "Bacterial small subunit ribosomal RNA", at positions 524 to 776 of the family's 1533-position model. The record is from RNAcentral.